RNAcentral lists this non-coding RNA (260 nucleotides) under Lachnoclostridium sp. RNAcentral describes it as "T-box sequence". It matches the Rfam family "T-box leader". Rfam says of the family: Uncharged tRNA acts as the effector for transcription antitermination of genes in the T-box leader family. T-boxes are found upstream of many aminoacyl-tRNA synthetase genes and some amino acid biosynthetic genes usually in Gram-positive bacteria. Lineage: Bacteria; Bacillati; Bacillota; Clostridia; Lachnospirales; Lachnospiraceae. The record is from RNAcentral.
GGAAAUGCGAUGAAGAGGAAUAGUACAUUCGGACUUGACUGCAGAGAACUGUCGGGUGGUGCGAGACAGUGGAGAGGAUGUUUGGAACUCGCCUCCGAGCGGCUGUCCGAAAUCUUUCGCCAUGCGGGAGAGAGUAGACACAGACGGGGCCCUGCCGUUAUAGAGGGAAGGAUAUAAGAAGUAAUUCCGUAUCCGUUGAGUGUGUGAGUUUUUCGCAAAAUAGAGUGGUACCGCGUGGGACAGUUGUCCUUCGUCUCUGG